This 68-nucleotide transfer RNA is filed under the name Aotus nancymaae (Ma's night monkey). RNAcentral describes it as "tRNA-Asp". Lineage: Eukaryota; Metazoa; Chordata; Mammalia; Primates; Aotidae. The record is from RNAcentral.
AAGAUAUUAGUAAAAGAAUUACAUAACUUUGUCAAAGUUAAAUUAUAGACUUAGAUCUAUAUAUCUUA